GGUGGCGCAACAGACAGCGGGAGAUCAGCUGGUGGCAACGGAUGGCAGGAGGCCGCAGGACCGUGCGAGGAGCAGGUAGCCGGAGGAUGUCGCCGGUGGAAAUCUGGCAAGUGGCGGCGGCAUAGAGGGCUUAUGGUUUGAUGUUGGUCUUUUUACCUAUAGCACUGAAUUUCAUGUAUAGGUUGUGCUGAUCCUAAGAUUGCCAAAAACUGCUUCGUAAAAAUCACCCAGGUCUGCUUUUUAUUGUGAUUAUGCAAAUUGCUCGAAACCUGAGUUGUCCUAUUUUGUUGAUGAAGGAAUUGAAAUCUGAAGACAUGGUGAUUUUUACCCAAUGGGUUAUGCCCUUGAGCACGAAGAGCUUUUGAACUCUGAGGUUCAGGACCACGCGUGCUUCUCACAUUUAUUGAGACAGAGAGUAUUAAUCAAAAGCGGUUCAAGUUUCCACAAUGAGCUAUACAUCAUCUAAACUCACAUGGAUAUACCAGGUCUGCCUUUCCCUACAAUUUAAGCCUUUGUUUUGGCAGGUAUCAGUCACCUGGUGCUAAACUUGGUGCUUAAUGAUCAACUAGAACAAAGUUUCAUAGCCUUCCAGAUUUGUCAAAUCUACAAUAACAGGAUAAUUCCUGUUAGACAUGUUAUUCUACUGGUACAUGUCAUAUAACGAAAUUCUUGUAUUUUGGAAGGAGAAAACAUUGAGUGGAGCAAUUAUGCAAUUCAAGUGGCAUGGUCAUCAAAGUGUUUUGUAGUGUGAGGAUAAUAAGGUGAAGUGAGGCUGCUGCUCGCCGGUGGCUCGCCGGCCAUCCGAGAGCCGGAAUUGCGGCCCCAUGCGAGGGAAAGAUCAGCGUUGCUGCAACCACGGCAGGACACCCACCAUGCGCGUACCAUACAGGCAGCAUCAGCCUCACUUCACCUUGGAUGACAUGACGAUUAUGAAAUAUUCAGUCAUCCCCCUUGGGUCUACCUGUUGGACACUUGGACCUACUCAUGUGUUUGAGAUGAUUGUGCAGAAAAGCUGAAAACGGGAUAAAAUUCUAUGUGAGAGAUGACCGCUAAAGGAGUGCGACGCCACCAUCCUGUGCCACAAACCAUACCAAGAAUGGCGGGUUAUGGAUAGAGUUCAUUUGAUCCAUCUGAUAAAAAUACCUAUUGGGGAAUAAGCAUGAAAAGUAAUCAACCACUCUUUCCGCAGUGGAGUUCGGCCGUGAUGAUCAGAAGUUUAGGACCACACUGUAGUCAAGAAAAAGGAAUGAUCUUCGAGUUGAAAUGGAUUUGAUGAGGGAAGUCUGCAAUGCAGACUGUGUUAAGUGUACCCGCUCCAGAUUUCAUCGACAGUAAAUGGUCCACUGCUAUUGGCAGGAGGAAUAUGUAUGCGUUGGUGGGUGCUGGAGGUUCCCUGCAAUACCCGAGGAUCCGAUGGCGAGCCGUAGGUCGGGGAAGUCGUCGGCAUACAUAUAAGGAGAUGGAGGUGGAGGUGGCGGUGGAGGGAGACGGGCAUUCACUACUCGUCGGAGGGCGAGGGCAUGGAGGACAACCAGCACGACGAUUACCACGCCUUCCUCCCGUCGAAUCACUCAAGCACGACGUCCUGGUCCUCUCUAUCCAUUGGCCCCCUCCAACAUCUACCACGAUGACCACAUGUUGUUUGCGUAGCAGCAGCGGCGGCCAUCCAUGAUCUUCUUUUGUGCCGACCUGCUAGAAACAGGUUGGGCUAUAGACAACUAGAGAUUGGUCACCUGUCUAGCAGCUCAUUUCUGAAAACAAACACCAGGUCUAUGUGUUCAAAAUCAUGAAGGAGGAUGUCAAAGUGUUUCUGCAGCGCAUCAGGCGAAAGAAAAAGCAACAUGAAGUUCCCGUCUACAUCAAACUGCUUUCACUUAUAUUCUGCCGAAUUUGUUCCAUCUAUAGGACUGUACAUGGAGAUUAUCUAUAAGGGUUGUGUC
Non-coding RNA from Aegilops tauschii subsp. strangulata, 1940 nucleotides. NCBI's taxonomy places the organism in Eukaryota, Viridiplantae, Streptophyta, Magnoliopsida, Poales, Poaceae. The record is from RefSeq and is a predicted model, not a curated record.